AACGAACGCUGGCGGCAUGCCUAACACAUGCAAGUCGAACGAGACCUUCUGGUCUAGUGGCGCACGUGUGCGUAACGCGUUGGAACCUGCCCUUAGGUUCGGAAUAACUCCCCGACAGGGGUUCUAAUUCCGGAUAAUGUCUUCGGACUAAGGAUUUAUCGCCUUUGGAUGGGCCCGCGUUGGAUUAGCUAGUUGGUAGGGUAAAAGCCUACCAAGGCGACGAUCCAGAGCUGGUCUGAGAGGAUGAUCAGCCACACUGGGACUGAGACACGGCCCAGGCUCCUACGGGAGGAAGAAGUGGGGAAUAUUGGACAAUGGGCGAAAGCCUGAUCCAGCAAUGCCGCGUGAGUGAUGAAGGCCUUAGGGUUGUAAAGCUCUUUUACCCGGGAGGAUAAUGACAGUACCGGGAGAAUAAGCUCCGGCUAACUACGUG
RNAcentral lists this ribosomal RNA (433 nucleotides) under uncultured bacterium. RNAcentral describes it as "partial 16S ribosomal RNA". It matches the Rfam family "Bacterial small subunit ribosomal RNA", at positions 29 to 507 of the family's 1533-position model. The record is from RNAcentral.